AAUACCGAUAACACUUACCGAGUCAAAGCAGCAAUGCGCUUGGGGAGGAGGUCGCGGCCGAUUAGCUAGUUGGGGGGUAAUGGCCCACCAAGGCGAUGAUCGGAAUCCGGCCUGAGAGGGCGCACGGACACACCGGAACUGAGACACGGUCCGGACUCCUACGGGAGGCAGCAGUGGGGAACUAUUGGACAAUGGGGGAAACCCUGAUCCAGGACGCCGCGUGUGUGAAGAAGGCCUGCGGGUUGAAAGCACUUUAGUGGGGACAAAAAGCUACGGAUUAAUACUCUGUGGUCUGGAUUUAACCCAAAGAAAAAGCACCGGCUAACUCUGUGCCAGCAGCCGCGGUAAUACAGAGGGUGCGAGCGUUAAUCGGAAUUACUGGGCGUAAAGCGCGCGUAACCGGUUUUGUAACGUCACGACUGUGAAAUCCCCGGGCUUAACCUGGGAACU
Molecule: ribosomal RNA, 450 nt
Filed under: uncultured bacterium
Lineage: Bacteria
Description: bacterial SSU rRNA
Rfam family: Bacterial small subunit ribosomal RNA
Source: RNAcentral